GGCGGAGCCGGCCCAGCCGGAGCCCGGACGAUGAGUCGCUCGCAGGUGUCAGGGCGUCCGCCGCUCCUCGUUGCCUUGAUCGCCGAACUCUGCGGGAGGAGCUGAAGAGUCCAGAAAAGGGAGGAAACUGCUCGGAGGAAAGCCCUGGGAGGACGAAGACGAUUCUGUGUGGAGGAACCCACCUGGCCAUUGAUCAGCUAGCUGUGUAUCUUUCAGCAGGUUCCCCUUGAGACCUCUCAGAGUUGCCCUGAGCAACUUAUAUUUUAACAUAAAGAAUAUCACAAGGGGACUUCCCAGGUGGCUCAGUGGUUAAGAAUCUGCCUGCCAAUGCAGGGGACACCGCUUGGAGCCCUGGUCCGGGAAGAUCCCACUAAGCCGGUGGGCCACAACUACUGAGCCCCACGUGCUGCAACUACUGAAGCCCGCGCCUAAAGCCCGUGCUCUACUACAAGAGAAGCCACCACAAUGAGAAGCCUGCACACUGCCAUGCAGUAGCCUCCAC
This is a long non-coding RNA of Hippopotamus amphibius kiboko, 502 nucleotides long. RefSeq lists it as uncharacterized. Lineage: Eukaryota; Metazoa; Chordata; Mammalia; Artiodactyla; Hippopotamidae. The record is from RefSeq and is a predicted model, not a curated record. The transcript has 3 exons.